AGAGUUUGAUCAUGGCUCAGGACGAACGCUGGCGGCGUGCUUAACACAUGCAAGUCAAGGAGAACGUAUUCUUCGGAAUACUAUUAAACUGGCGAACGGGUGAGUAACGCGUAGGCAACCUGCCCUAGAGACGGGGAUAACUUCGGGAAACCGGGGCUAAUACCGGAUAAUGCAGCGGAUCCUUCGGGAUACAGUUGUUAAAGCGGGCUUCGGCUCGCACUUUAGGAUGGGCCUGCGUCCGAUUAGCUUGUUGGUAAGGUAAUGGCUUACCAAGGCGAUGAUCGGUAGCUGGUCUGAGAGGAUGAUCAGCCACACUGGGAUUGAGAUACGGCCCAGACUCCUACGGGAGGCAGCAGUGGGGAAUUUUGCGCAAUGGGGGAAACCCUGACGCAGCAACGCCGCGUGACCGAUGAAGCUUUUCGGAGUGUAAAGGUCUGUCGUAAGGGAAGAAAAGUUUGGAUGUAAAUAAUGUUCGAACCUGACGGUACCUUACAAGAAAGCACCGGCUAACUUCGUGCCAGCAGCCGCGGUGAUACGAGGGGUGCAAGCGUUGUCCGGAAUCACUGGGCGUAAAGGGUCCGUAGGCGUCCCAAUAAGUCAUUUGUAAAUACACCGGNCUUAACCGGUGGCCUGCAUUUGAAACUAUUGGGAUAGAGUAUAGGAGAGGAAAGUGGAAUUCCUGGUGUA
RNAcentral lists this ribosomal RNA (687 nucleotides) under uncultured marine bacterium. RNAcentral describes it as "bacterial SSU rRNA". It matches the Rfam family "Bacterial small subunit ribosomal RNA", at positions 8 to 677 of the family's 1533-position model. The record is from RNAcentral.